CGUGAGUAACCUGCCCUUGACUCUGGGAUAAGCGUUGGAAACGACGUCUAAUACCGGAUACGAGCUUCCACCGCAUGGUGAGUUGCUGGAAAGAAUUUUGGUCAAGGAUGGACUCGCGGCCUAUCAGCUAGUUGGUGAGGUAACGGCUCACCAAGGCGACGACGGGUAGCCGGCCUGAGAGGGUGACCGGCCACACUGGGACUGAGACACGGCCCAGACUCCUACGGGAGGCAGCAGUGGGGAAUAUUGCACAAUGGGCGAAAGCCUGAUGCAGCAACGCCGCGUGAGGGACGACGGCCUUCGGGUUGUAAACCUCUUUUAGCAGGGAAGAAGCGAAAGUGACGGUACCUGCAGAAAAAGCACCGGCUAACUACGUGCCAGCAGCCGCGGUAAUACGUAGGGUGCAAGCGUUGUCCGGAAUUAUUGGGCGUAAAGAGCUCGUAGGCGGUUUGUCGCGUCUGCUGUGAAAUCCCGAGGCUCAACCUCGGGUCUGCAGUGGGUACGGGCAGACUAGAGUGCGGUAGGGGAGAUUGGAAUUCCUGGUGUAGCGGUGGAAUGCGCAGAUAUCAGGAGGAACACCGAUGGCGAAGGCAGAUCUCUGGGCCGUUACUGACGCUGAGGAGCGAAAGGGUGGGGAGCAAACAGGCUUAGAUACCCUGGUAGUCCACCCCGUAAACGUUGGGCGCUAGAUGUGGGGACCAUUCCACGGUUUCCGUGUCGUAGCUAACGCAUUAAGCGCCCCGCCUGGGGAGUACGGCCGCAAGGCUAAAACUCAAAGGAAUUGACGGGGGCCCGCACAAGCGGCGGAGCAUGCGGAUUAAUUCGAUGCAACGCGAAGAACCUUACCAAGGCUUGACAUAUACGAGAACGGGCCAGAAAUGGUCAACUCUUUGGACACUCGUAAACAGGUGGUGCAUGGUUGUCGUCAGCUCGUGUCGUGAGAUGUUGGGUUAAGUCCCGCAACGAGCGCAACCCUCGUUCUAUGUUGCCAGCACGUAAUGGUGGGAACUCAUGGGAUACUGCCGGGGUCAACUCGGAGGAAGGUGGGGACGACGUCAAAUCAUCAUGCCCCUUAUGUCUUGGGCUUCACGCAUGCUACAAUGGCCAGUACAAAGGGCUGCAAUACCGUAAGGUGGAGCGAAUCCCAAAAAGCUGGUCCCAGUUCGGAUUGAGGUCUGCAACUCGACCUCAUGAAGUCGGAGUCGCUAGUAAUCGCAGAUCAGCAACG
Molecule: ribosomal RNA, 1228 nt
Filed under: Plantibacter sp.
Lineage: Bacteria; Bacillati; Actinomycetota; Actinomycetes; Micrococcales; Microbacteriaceae
Description: bacterial SSU rRNA
Rfam family: Bacterial small subunit ribosomal RNA
Source: RNAcentral